AACGAACGCUGGCGGCAGGCCUAACACAUGUAAGUCGAACGCCCGUAGCAAUACGGGAGUGGCAGACGGGUGAGUAACGCGUGGGAACGUGCCCUUCGGUUCGGAAUAACUCAGGGAAACUUGAGCUAAUACCGGAUACGUCCGUAAGGAGAAAGAUUUAUCGCCGAAGGAUCGGCCCGCGUCGGAUUAGCUAGUUGGUGAGGUAACGGCCCACCAAGGCGACGAUCCGUAGCUGGUCUGAGAGGAUGAUCAGCCACACUGGGACUGAGACACGGCCCAGACUCCUACGGGAGGCAGCAGU
This 301-nucleotide ribosomal RNA is filed under the name uncultured bacterium. RNAcentral's name for it is "bacterial SSU rRNA". It matches the Rfam family "Bacterial small subunit ribosomal RNA", at positions 29 to 355 of the family's 1533-position model. The record is from RNAcentral.